GACGAACGCUGGCGGCGUGCUUAACACAUGCAAGUCGAACGGAAAGACCCUGCUUUUGUGGGGUGCUCGAGUGGCGAACGGGUGAGUAACACGUGAGUAACCUGCCCUUGACUUUGGGAUAACUUCAGGAAACUGGGGCUAAUACCGGAUAGGAGCUCCGCUGCAUGGUGGGGGUUGGAAAGUUUCGGCGGUUGGGGAUGGACUCGCGGCUUAUCAGCUUGUUGGUGGGGUAGUGGCUUACCAAGGCUUUGACGGGUAGCCGGCCUGAGAGGGUGACCGGCCACAUUGGGACUGAGAUACGGCCCAGACUCCUACGGGAGGCAGCAGUGGGGAAUAUUGCACAAUGGGCGGAAGCCUGAUGCAGCAACGCCGCGUGCGGGAUGACGGCCUUCGGGUUGUAAACCGCUUUCGCCUGUGACGAAGCGUGAGUGACGGUAAUGGGUAAAGAAGCACCGGCUAACUACGUG
RNAcentral lists this ribosomal RNA (467 nucleotides) under uncultured bacterium. RNAcentral's name for it is "partial 16S ribosomal RNA". It matches the Rfam family "Bacterial small subunit ribosomal RNA", at positions 28 to 507 of the family's 1533-position model. The record is from RNAcentral.